Nicotiana tabacum (common tobacco) is the source of this 1465-nucleotide RNA transcript. It is a transcript of the gene named protein REVEILLE 8, with no coding region annotated. NCBI's taxonomy places the organism in Eukaryota, Viridiplantae, Streptophyta, Magnoliopsida, Solanales, Solanaceae. The record is from RefSeq and is a predicted model, not a curated record.
CAAUUGAUUUGGCCAGGAGACAGUAGUCCCCACUCCCCGCCCAAAAAUUACCCACCCACUCUGUACUCUCUAUAUUUCCUCCACAAAAACUCUUUUGAAUCGUUUGAAACCAUGAACUCAAGCUCUCCUUCCAUGGCUAACAACAACUCAACACCUACCGACUCUUCUGGCAAAAAGGUUCGGAAACCUUACACCAUAACUAAGUCUAGAGAAAGCUGGACUGAAGAAGAACACGACAAGUUCCUUGAAGCUCUUCAACUGUUUGACCGUGAUUGGAAGAAAAUUGAGGAUUUUGUAGGCUCAAAGACAGUAAUUCAGAUUCGCAGUCAUGCUCAAAAGUACUUCUUGAAGGUCCAGAAGAAUGGUACAACAGCACACGUGCCACCACCUCGGCCCAAGCGUAAAGCAGCUCAUCCUUAUCCCCAGAAGGCACCAAAAAAUGUUUUAGUACCAUUGCAAGCCUCUAUGGGUUACCCUUCUUCAAUGAAUUCCCUUCCACCUGGAUAUCCAUCAUGGGAUGACACUUCCGUACUCUUAAAUUCUCCAUCUGGCGGAACAAUGCCAUCACAAGAUGAAUACCAUUUUCAAAGAAUUCAGGCUGAUAUUGGAUCAAAGGGAGCUACAUUGAUUAGUAACAGCGGCAUUAGAAGUUCCAGCAGAACGGCGCCGAGUUCUGAACUACCAGAGCAGAGCAAACUAGGUUCUGUUCCUCAUGGCAUACCAGACUUUGCAGAAGUCUAUAGCUUUAUUGGGAGUGUCUUUGACCCAGACACUAAAGGUCAUGUACAGAAGCUGAAGGAGAUGGACCCUAUUAACUUUGAAACUGGAUUUGAAAGUUUCAGCUGGGGAGUUUUAGAUGGGGGUCAAUGUUUUGUUGUUGAUGCGAAAUCUUACAAUGAACUUGUCGAGCCCUGACUUUGAGCCCAUUAAAAAUGUAUUGUCAACAUAUGAUCUCAGUACAAAAGUCGCGGGCCUUCCUACAGGUGGUGCUGUCAAGAACCACAAUGAUUUAUCAUGUCAGACAAUAUGAUAAAAACAGUUAUUUAUAUUCGUCGGUGAGACUUUCUCCAACAACGGUGAGUCUAUGCGCUCUUGCUUUCUAAGAGCUUGAAAAAAUGUUCAUCACUGGAAAAGUCUCAAGAGUCGUGUCAUGGAUAACAGCGUUACAGCAUCUUCCCCUGGUUUCUCCUUGAUGCUCAGUGGUCAAGGAGAAUGUUCCUUUUAGAAGUUGAGCUUCUCCUAGUGAGAAGCGUGCCCAAGCCUUGAUAUCAUGUGUUUUUACCCCUAAAAUGUAUAUUCCCUCAAUUUUGUGCAGCUUAAUAUUUGGAGGUGGUGUAAAACUUGUAGCUUUUAGAGCAAUAAUAAGGAGGAAAAAGUUCUUGUACCGCAUUGCCUGUUGAAGUAUGGAUUUAGGAAAUACACUCGGGCCGUGCUUUAGUUGGCCUUGUUGCAGAUUAAAGUUAAA